RNAcentral lists this ribosomal RNA (334 nucleotides) under uncultured eukaryote. RNAcentral's name for it is "partial 18S ribosomal RNA". It matches the Rfam family "Eukaryotic small subunit ribosomal RNA", at positions 1470 to 1796 of the family's 1831-position model. The record is from RNAcentral.
CCCUUAGAUGUCCGGGGCUGCACGCGCGCUGCACUGACUGGCUCAGCGUGUGCCUACCCUACGCCGGCAGGCGCGGGUAACCCGUUGAACCCCAUUCGUGAUGGGGAUCGGGGAUUGCAAUUAUUCCCCAUGAACGAGGAAUUCCCAGUAAGUGCGGGUCAUAAGCUUGCGUUGAUUAAGUCCCUGCCCUUUGUACACACCGCCCGUCGCUACUACCGAUUGGAUGGUUUAGUGAGGCCCUCGGAUCGGCCCCGCCGGGGUCGGCCCACGGCCCUGGCGGAGCGCUGAGAAGACGGUCGAACUUGACUAUCUAGAGGAAGUAAAAGUCGUAACA